This 71-nucleotide transfer RNA is filed under the name Bos taurus (domestic cattle). It matches the Rfam family "tRNA". Rfam says of the family: Transfer RNA (tRNA) molecules are approximately 80 nucleotides in length. Their secondary structure includes four short double-helical elements and three loops (D, anti-codon, and T loops). Further hydrogen bonds mediate the characteristic L-shaped molecular structure. tRNAs have two regions of fundamental functional importance: the anti-codon, which is responsible for specific mRNA codon recognition, and the 3' end, to which the tRNAs corresponding amino acid is attached (by aminoacyl-tRNA synthetases). tRNAs cope with the degeneracy of the genetic code in two manners: having more than one tRNA (with a specific anti-codon) for a particular amino acid; and 'wobble' base-pairing, i.e. permitting non-standard base-pairing at the 3rd anti-codon position. RNAcentral also lists the same sequence under 3 other names. Lineage: Eukaryota; Metazoa; Chordata; Mammalia; Artiodactyla; Bovidae. The record is from Rfam by way of RNAcentral.
UCCCAGGUGACUCAGGGUUAAAGAAUCUGCCUACUAAGCAGGAGGUGCAGGUUCCAUUCCUGAGUUGGGAA